This 926-nucleotide non-coding RNA is filed under the name Callithrix jacchus (white-tufted-ear marmoset). Its description in RNAcentral is "12S ribosomal RNA". It matches the Rfam family "Bacterial small subunit ribosomal RNA". Lineage: Eukaryota; Metazoa; Chordata; Mammalia; Primates; Cebidae. The record is from RNAcentral.
GCCCUCAGUGAUAUUACACAUGCAAGCAUCCACGGCCCUGUGAGAAUGCCCUCCACCAAAAUGUGAGGAGCAAGUAUCAAGCACGCAAACAUGCAGCUCAAGACACUUUGCUUAGCCACACCCCCACGGGAGACAGCAGUGACAAACUUUUAGCAAUGAACGAAAGUUUAACUAAGUUACACUGACAAUCAGAGUUGGUCAAUUUCGUCGCCAGCCACCGCGGCCAUACGAUUGACUCAAGUUAAUAGAGCCCGGCGUAAAGAGUGUUUAAGACUUAACCCACCUAAUAAAGCUAACCUGUAACUAAGUCGUAGAAAACUCCGGUUAUAGUGAAAUACUCUACGAAAGUGGCUUUAGCAUUCUGAACACACUAUAGCUAAGACACAAACUGGGAUUAGAUACCCCACUAUGCUUAGCCCUAAACCUCAAUAAUUUAAUUAACAAAUUUAUUCGCCAGAACACUACAAGCAACAGCUUGAAAUUCAAAGGACCUGGCGGUGCUUUACAUCCGUCUAGAGGAGCCUGUUCUAUAAUCGAUACACCCCGAUAAACCUCACCACAUCUAGCCAUUCAGCCUGUAUACCGCCAUCUUCAGCAAACUCCUUAAUGAUUGCAAAGUAAGCAGAAGUAUCACCAUAAAAACGUUAGGUCAAGGUGCAGCCAAUGACGUGGGAAGAAAUGGGCUACAUUUUCUACAUCAGAAAACUAAACGAUAACCCCUAUGAAAUUUAGGGGCCUAAGGUGGAUUUAGCAGUAAACCAAGAAUAGAGAGCUUGAUUGAAACAAGCCCAUUAAGCACGCACACACCGCCCGUCACCCUCCUCAAACAUCACACAAAAGUAUAUUAACAACAAGCCACUUCACACUGAUCUAGAGGGGAUAAGUCGUAACAUGGUAAGCGUACUGGAAAGUGCGCUUGGACGAAU